This 143-nucleotide small nuclear RNA is filed under the name Pogona vitticeps (central bearded dragon). Its description in RNAcentral is "U1 spliceosomal RNA (ENSPVIG00000018618.1)". It matches the Rfam family "U1 spliceosomal RNA", at positions 1 to 147 of the family's 166-position model. From Rfam's summary of the family: U1 is a small nuclear RNA (snRNA) component of the spliceosome (involved in pre-mRNA splicing). Its 5' end forms complementary base pairs with the 5' splice junction, thus defining the 5' donor site of an intron. There are significant differences in sequence and secondary structure between metazoan and yeast U1 snRNAs, the latter being much longer (568 nucleotides as compared to 164 nucleotides in human). Lineage: Eukaryota; Metazoa; Chordata; Lepidosauria; Squamata; Agamidae. The record is from RNAcentral.
AUACCUUAAUGGGAGAAAUACCAUGUUAUCGAAAUGAUUUUCCUAGGGAGAUGCUUAUCCAUUGUAUUUUGGUAUGCUGUUAAACCCUGUGAUUUCCCUAAAUAUGGGGAACUCAACUAUAUAAUUUAUGUUAAUAGGGCCAU